GCGGGCUGGACCUCUCGGGGUUACAGCCUUGCUGAAUUAUUCACCCUUGUCUUUUGCGUACUUCUUGUUUCCUUGGUGGGUUCGCCCACCACUAGGACAAACAUAAACCUUUUGUAAUUGCAAUCAGCGUCAGUAACAAAUUAAUAAUUACAACUUUCAACAACGGAUCUCUUGGUUCUGGCAUCGAUGAAGAACGCAGCGAAAUGCGAUAAGUAGUGUGAAUUGCAGAAUUCAGUGAAUCAUCGAAUCUUUGAACGCACAUUGCGCCCUUUGGUAUUCCAAAGGGCAUGCCUGUUCGAGCGUCAUUUGUACCCUCAAGCUUUGCUUGGUGUUGGGCGUCUUGUCUCUAGCUUUGCUGGAGACUCGCCUUAAAGUAAUUGGCAGCCGGCCUACUGGUUUCGGAGCGCAGCACAAGUCGCACUCUCUAUCAGCAAAGGUCUAGCAUCCAUUAAGCCUUUUUUUCAACUUUUGACCU
Molecule: unclassified non-coding RNA, 475 nt
Filed under: Alternaria alternata
Lineage: Eukaryota; Fungi; Ascomycota; Dothideomycetes; Pleosporales; Pleosporaceae
Description: sequence contains ITS1, 5.8S rRNA gene and ITS2
Rfam family: 5.8S ribosomal RNA (bases 152-305)
Source: RNAcentral